This 114-nucleotide ribosomal RNA is filed under the name Vibrio mediterranei. RNAcentral also lists the same sequence under 1 other name. Lineage: Bacteria; Pseudomonadati; Pseudomonadota; Gammaproteobacteria; Vibrionales; Vibrionaceae. The record is from RNAcentral.
UGGCGACCAUAGCGUUGUGGACCCACCUGAUUCCAUGCCGAACUCAGAAGUGAAACGCAAUAGCGCCGAUGGUAGUGUGGGGCUUCCCCAUGUGAGAGUAGGACAUCGCCAGGC